This is a non-coding RNA of Shigella sp., 136 nucleotides long. Lineage: Bacteria; Pseudomonadati; Pseudomonadota; Gammaproteobacteria; Enterobacterales; Enterobacteriaceae. The record is from Rfam.
CAUGGGGUGAAAAUCCCACCAGGUGACUGUCGUUCCAGCCGGUAGCAGUCAAAGCAGUCGUGUGGGUAACAAAGCGGCUGAUGUAUUUGGUGAAGAAGCUGUAGGUGUUUCAGUGAGUAUACAGGUCAUAAUGUGA